This is a long non-coding RNA of Oncorhynchus nerka (sockeye salmon), 4912 nucleotides long. RefSeq lists it as uncharacterized. The record is from RefSeq and is a predicted model, not a curated record. The transcript is spliced from 2 exons. Lineage: Eukaryota; Metazoa; Chordata; Actinopteri; Salmoniformes; Salmonidae.
UGGAGGUGGCUGCCUUUUUAUCAAUCUAUCUACAUUUGAUAUCAUACAUCUUCUUCAGACUUCCUGCCUCUGCCUGCAGUCUUAUGCAAGAACAGAACUCCCCUAGUCCCCUCUAUAUGUUUACUCAACCCUUUCCACACCCCUUAAAACCUCAAUAUGGCUUAUGUUACAGAUAAUCUACCUUAAAAUCCUUCUGUAGUUUUAUGUCAGUUUGGAAUUAUGAACUGUAUUUCAAACAGAUCCCCCCCUCCACUCUUUGCAGUCAAAGUCUCAUGAUCGAGGGUGAACCCAAUAUCAUUAUUCUCAAAACACACUUCAGCCAGAAGGUCUACUCUGACACCAAACAAGCCAGCAUGUCCCUCACCAGGGCACUGGUCCCAGUAGAGAGAGAUGCAUCCCAUACUGUCUGACCAGGUCGUUUGGCAAGCUGGAGAUCAACAAGAACUCACCAGAGGGAGACAGCACUGUCAACCAGGUAGGUUGGGUUUCAUUACUGUCACUUUCUGACCUUUAUUUCCUUUGUUUUGUCUUUAUUUAGUAUGGUCAGGGCGUGAGUUGGGGUGGGCAGUCUAUGUGUGUUUUUCUAUGUUGGGGUUUUGAGUUCGGCCUAGUAUGGUUCUCAAUUAGAGGCAGCUGUCAAUUGUUGUCCCUGAUUGAGAAUCAUACUUAGGUAGCCUGGGUUGCACUUUUGGUUUGUGGGUGUUUGUGCCCUGUGUCAGUGUUUGUGCCACACGGGACUGUUUAGUUUCUAUUCACUUUGUUAUUUUGUAUUCUGUCGUGUUCAGUUUGUGGACACUUACCACGCUGCGUAUUGGUCCGAUCCUUGCUACUCCUCUUCAGAUGAAGAGGAGGAAUGCCGUUACAAUUACAUUUACUGGCACAUAUCUGACCUUGGAUGGACAAUAAAGUUCUAUUUAGUUCUAUUAUUUUCUAUUCUAUUGCUGAGAACCUAGGUUUGAUUUAUCAUAUCAUUUUGAUGGUCUGCCCUGCACUUUACAAAGCGUGUGACUCCCUCCUGGGAGGGGCCAGGCUAGGUUGGUGCAGAUGGUAGUCCAGAGGGUUUACGUUACCCCUGGCAGAUCCCGCUCCAUAAAGGCAAACGCAGAUCUGGUGCCCUUGUUACUGAAGCUCAAACUGUGUGUUACUCAUGUAAGCCAUGUACUUCCUCCUCUGAAUUUGAUUGAAUUUAACUGUACAAUAUCAUUUUGGUUUUCGACCACAUGGAAAGUUUAUGCCCUCAAUUAGGGUGGCAAAGGGUCGGAAACCUUCCAGAAAUUUUCCAAGGGAAGUUAAUCCUGGGAAUUUUGCUUAAAUUCAUCAACAUUUAGCUGACAACAGUGAACCUUUUUUUGUGGGAUACACAUCAGGUAAUUCUAGGUCUUGUGGCAUAUUUUGGUUAAACUAUCCCCAAUUCAAUGGAAAUCUAACCAUCUGCAUGCACAGCACAUUGUUCCAUCACAUGUACAGCUGCUUCUCAAUAUCUUGCACACUAAUGAGAUACUAGUGAGCCCACACUACUACACUGUCUGAGCCAAGGACUACAUGCUUUCUGGUAAGUUUUGAUUACAAAACUGGGUGGGGUGAAUAUAUUUUAUAUGACAUGAUUUUUUGUUAACUAGUAAAUAGUAGAUUACAGCAAAGUGUGUUUAAAUAAUGUCUAACUUGUUAACAAUUUCUGCUAGUUUGUUUUUGCUAUCAUGUGGGUUUUAGCUUGCUUGAACCUGCUAACUGAGGAGUGUUAAUUGUUUCCAUACAUUUUGUAAAGUGUGCGCUGGAAGUCGGGAAACAAGUUCAGGAGUGAAUAAUUUAAUCAAUAAAUGAAACAUAAUACAAAGAAAGAAACACAAACAACGCACAGACAUGAAACAGAAACAGUGACGCCUGGGGAAGGAACCAAAGGGAGUGACAUAUAAAGGGCAGGUAAUCAAGGAGGUGAUGGAGUCCAGGUGAGUGUCAUUAUGCACAGAUGCGCGUAACGAUGGUGACAGGUGUGCGCCAUAACGAGCAACCUGGUGACCUAGAGGCUGAAGAGGGAGCAGAUGUGACACGUUUAAUUUUAAAACAUUUAUCUUACAACGGAGUUGUUCAAUCUAACUGCUUAACUAUUUAUCUUUACAUGGAAUUGUAUUUUUACUCAUUUUUUUCUAAUCUUUACAGGAAAAUGCCACGGGCACUAUCUGAUGUGUGGAGACAUUUCACUGCAGCUAAUGUAGAAGGAAAAGCUGUGUACAUUUGCAAAUACUGUGCCAAAUCAUAUGUGAAGAAUGCAACAAAGAUGCAGAAUCAUCUGGCCAAGUGCAUAAAGUUCCCUCAGCGCUCACAACAAGGAACCUCUGACAAAUGUCCCUCUACUUCUAUUCGAGGUAAAAAUGAUGAAUCAGACACCUUAUCGAUAGCAACAGCUCAUAGUUCUACUGGAAUCAGACAUUUUUUUGACUCAAUGGAGGAACGUAUUCAGAGAAAUGCAUCAGAAUUCAAGCAAAAUAGAGAAAGCAGACUGUAUUGCAAUCAUCUCUGAUGGGUGGUCAAAUGUUCAUGGGCAAGGAAUAAUUAAGUACAUCAUCUCCACCCCUCAACUAGUAUUCUACAAUAGCACGGACACAAGGGACAACAUACACACCGGUCUCUACAUUGCAGAUGAGCUGAAGGCAGUUAUCAAUGACCUUGGACCACAGAAGAUAUUUGCACUGGUGACAGACAAUGCUGUGAACAUGAAGGCUGCUUGGUCUAAAGUGGAGGAGUCCUACCCUCACAUCACUCCCAUUGGCUGUGCUGCUCAUGCGUUGAAUCUGCUCCUCGAGGACAUCAUGGCACUGAUAACAAUGGAUACACUCUAAACUCUACAAGAGAGUCAAGGAAAUGGUUAGGUAUGUAAAGGGUCAUCAAGUUAUAGCAGCAAUCUACCUCACCAAGCAAAGUGAGAAGAAUAAGAGCACCACAUUGAAGCUGCCCAGCAACAACUGUUGGGGUGGUGUUGUCAUCAUGUUUGACAGUCUCCUGGAGGGGAAAGAGUCUCUCCAAGAAAUGUCAAUAUCACAGUCUGCCGAUAUGGACAGCCCCAUCAAGAGGAUCCUCCAGGAUUAUGUAUUUUGGGAGAGAGUGGUAAAGCAGCCUGAAACACCUGAAACCUAUACUGCCCUACUAAACAUUAACUAAUUUUCGACCAAAUGAGCAGUUACUGCCUUUUUGCUUGGUAGGGCAGUAUAGCAGUAGCCCUUGCACGGAUUGAGGGAGACAAUGCCAUCCUGUCUGAUGUUCAGACUCUGCUUGCAGAUGUAAGAGAAGAAAUCCGUACUGCCCUGCCAUCUUCACUGUUGCUCCAAGCAGAGGAAACUGCAGUUCUGAAGUACAUCAAAAAGCGUGAAGACUUCUGUCUGAAGCCCACACACGCGGCAGCGUACAUGUUGGACCCCAAGUAUGCUGGCAAGAGCACCCUGUCUGGUUCAACAAGGCCUAUGGUGUCAUCAUUACCAUGUCUUGCCACCUUGGCCUGGAUGAGGGCAAUGUUCUUGGCAGUCUGGCGAAGUACACUUCCAAGCAAGGGCUUUGGGAUGGAGAUGCAAUAUGGUAGUCGUGCCAACAUAUCUCAUCAGCCACCUGGUGGAAGGGAAUUUGUAGAUCUGAGGCUUUCCCCUGUUUUUCCCCUGUUGCUUCCAUCAUCUUCCAAAUCCCACAAACAUCAGCUGUUUCAGAGCGCAACUGGGCCUUGUUUGGGAACACAUAGACCAAAGCACGCAACAGGACGACCAAUUCAAGGGUUGAAAAAUUCUCAAUAAGGUUGGAAAGUGGCAGUGAAGAUGAGGCCUCAGAGUCUGAUAUUCAAGAGGUGGACAUUGAGGAGGUCCAGGGAGAAGACAUGGAAGCCUGAGAGUAAGACAACCAAAGCUUUAGUUUAUAGACUAUCAUUUUACAGAUGUACUGUAUGUUUAAUGCUAUGGAUCAUUGGAUCAUUUAAUAUUCCCUUUCUUUUGUUGUUCAGUGAAAUCCUCCCAUGUGAAGAGUCAACUCAUUUAAUUAAAUUUAAAUUUGUAACUAAAUAGUUUUUUAAAAAUUAUAUUGGAAGGAUUUAAUCAUUUAUGAUAAGGUAAAAGGUUUAUGUUUCUGUCUCCAUAUGAUAUGGUAAAUAUAUCCAAUGCAAAAAAACAUCUACAUUUAAAUGGUAUUAAUAUUAAUUUGCAAAUAUUCCCGUUAAUUCCCAUAUAUUCCCGUUAAUUCCUACGGAAAGUUUCCACCUCUGAAUAUUCCUCAAAAUGUGCAACCAUACCCUCAAUGAUUAUUUUCUGCAGCAAGUUUCUCUGCCUCUUCUCUGACAUUUGCCUUGGCUCUCCUUGGUGGCAACAUGUGCCCCAGUUAAGUUUCUAUCUUUUGUUAACUGAACAGACCCCCUCCACAGAGGGCUCUCUCUGUCUGCACUCUCCAGCCAUAUGGCAUUGCUUGACAAAGGACACAAACAUUUCUAAUUUAAUCCAGCCCUGCUGUGCUGUGAGUCGUGCUCCACCAGGCCAAUUCUCUGGAACUAAAGACAGCAUGCUGUGUUGUGGAGCUCUAGGGAGGGUCCCGUUGGGGCCUGGCUGGGCUGCAGCAUCCCAGAGAUGAGGGAGGGGAUGCCCAGUAUUGCCCACUCUAACCUUUGAUUAAAUAGCAGCCUACAUGAAACCAAUUUCCAUUUAUUGAUUUUUAUAAUGUUUUAUUGUUAAUGUUUUAUAUAUAUUUUUUCACACCAAAUACAAACAAACAACAACUUACAGACGCACACACAUGACUACUACUCAUCUGCCCAGACCCGCAGGCUCACACCCACAUCCCUAGUGCCUGCAUUAUUGUUUGCCACAUGGUCUGAAACCGCACCAUUUUGUUUCUCUUCGUUGUCCAAGCACUUUCCAUAUUUAAAUAAUAAAUCAUUUGAUUUUUC